Molecule: transfer RNA, 72 nt
Filed under: Bos taurus (domestic cattle)
Lineage: Eukaryota; Metazoa; Chordata; Mammalia; Artiodactyla; Bovidae
Also listed under: 3 other names
Rfam family: tRNA
About the family: Transfer RNA (tRNA) molecules are approximately 80 nucleotides in length. Their secondary structure includes four short double-helical elements and three loops (D, anti-codon, and T loops). Further hydrogen bonds mediate the characteristic L-shaped molecular structure. tRNAs have two regions of fundamental functional importance: the anti-codon, which is responsible for specific mRNA codon recognition, and the 3' end, to which the tRNAs corresponding amino acid is attached (by aminoacyl-tRNA synthetases). tRNAs cope with the degeneracy of the genetic code in two manners: having more than one tRNA (with a specific anti-codon) for a particular amino acid; and 'wobble' base-pairing, i.e. permitting non-standard base-pairing at the 3rd anti-codon position.
Source: Rfam by way of RNAcentral
UCCCUGGUGGCUCACAUGGUAAAGAAUCUGCCUGCAAUGCAGAAGACCCAGGUUUGAUCCCUGGAUAAGGAA